CUGCGCCGAUGCUCCGUACGUUCGCAGUAACGGGUAGAGCGGAAGGCUCCGUGGCCAGGGAAGAGCGGCACGGACGCGUUCCUGCUCGCUCCGUUGCACCGGAAUUUCGACGGCUGGGUUCGGCCGCUAAAUUGAUGGCGCUACCGGAAGAAAUUUCAGAAAAAAAGGGUGGCUUUUUCGUCGAUCUCUUGGUGAGAGUAUCAAAUCAGGCGGCGGUAAAUACGUAGAAGCAGCUAGGCGUACUACGGCGUGUACCGGACAGCGUUGGCGUGCCGCUCUGCUAGCAGCGGAGAGCCAGAUGAGGAUGCCCGUGAUAUGAGAAAAGCUCUGUCCAGAGAUAUGGAGACGAAAUCAGUUGUACCUCACCCUGUGACACCGGAAGACAUUGAGUAACUGUAAGCUGUGAUGCUCAGUGAAAUUACUAAGAGCGUUAAGUUUCCCGUGCCUUUGCUUUCACUCUCCCAUUCUCUUGUCUUGCGGCACGUCGCAUUUUUUGAGGCCGUGGAAGCGACACCGGGAGCGAUGGGUUGU
Molecule: long non-coding RNA, 531 nt
Organism: Grus americana (Whooping crane)
Lineage: Eukaryota; Metazoa; Chordata; Aves; Gruiformes; Gruidae
Exons: 3
Source: RefSeq, a predicted model, not a curated record